GGGCGCGUAGCUCAGUGGGAGAGCGCUUGCUUCACACGCAAGAGGUCGCAGGUUCAAAACCUGCCGCGCCCACCA
This 75-nucleotide transfer RNA is filed under the name Actinomycetes bacterium. RNAcentral describes it as "Actinobacteria bacterium tRNA-Val". It matches the Rfam family "tRNA". Rfam says of the family: Transfer RNA (tRNA) molecules are approximately 80 nucleotides in length. Their secondary structure includes four short double-helical elements and three loops (D, anti-codon, and T loops). Further hydrogen bonds mediate the characteristic L-shaped molecular structure. tRNAs have two regions of fundamental functional importance: the anti-codon, which is responsible for specific mRNA codon recognition, and the 3' end, to which the tRNAs corresponding amino acid is attached (by aminoacyl-tRNA synthetases). tRNAs cope with the degeneracy of the genetic code in two manners: having more than one tRNA (with a specific anti-codon) for a particular amino acid; and 'wobble' base-pairing, i.e. permitting non-standard base-pairing at the 3rd anti-codon position. Lineage: Bacteria; Bacillati; Actinomycetota; Actinomycetes. The record is from RNAcentral. RNAcentral also lists the same sequence under 2 other names.